Non-coding RNA from Callorhinchus milii (elephant shark), 74 nucleotides. NCBI's taxonomy places the organism in Eukaryota, Metazoa, Chordata, Chondrichthyes, Chimaeriformes, Callorhinchidae. The record is from the annotation of a RefSeq genome assembly.
GGUACUGUGGCUUAGUUGCUGAAAGCGCUUGUCUUAUAAACAGGAGAUCCUGGGUUUAAAUCCCAGCGGUGCCU